Molecule: ribosomal RNA, 390 nt
Filed under: uncultured Glomeromycotina
Lineage: Eukaryota; Fungi; Glomeromycota
Description: SSU rRNA
Rfam family: Eukaryotic small subunit ribosomal RNA
Source: RNAcentral
GACGAACCAUGAUGUAAUUUAUUUGGUGUUGUGGGGAAUCAGGACUGUUACUUCUGAAAAAAUUAGAGCGUUUAAAGCAAGCUCACGCUUGAAUACAUUAGCAUGGAAUAAUGAAAUAGGACGUUUGAUUCUAUUUUGUUGGUUUCUAGGAUCGACGUAAUGAUUAAUAGGGAUAGUUGGGGGCAUUAGUAUUCAAUUGUCAGAGGUGAAAUUCUUGGAUUUAUUGAAGACUAACUACUGCGAAAGCAUUUGCCAAGGAUGUUUUCAUUAAUCAAGAACGAAAGUUAGGGGAUCGAAGACGAUCAGAUACCGUCGUAGUCUUAACCAUAAACUAUGCCGACUAGGGAUCGGAUGAUGUUAAUUUUUUAAUGACUCAUUCGGCGCCUUACG